AGAGCCCUCCUCCCGCCUGCUCUGUGUAGGAGACAGCCUGCGGAGCCCACUGCCGGCGCGCAGAGAGCCCAGCAGCUCUUGAGUCCAGGAAGCAAGGGUGGGAGGAGGGACGAGCCAGUGGCAAUGACCCAGACCCGGACGACCCCCAUUGCUGAGCCAGCGGAGCUGCUUGGUGAGUGGCCUCCAGGCGGCAUCUCUUGCUCUCAGCCCGGAGGGGGUUUUGGGGACCCAGGCUGUGGGGCUGCCUCUUCCCAUGCCUUCAGUUCACCCCGAUAUGGGGUGAAAAACCCUAGAGACCCUCGGGUGUCGGUCCACCAAGGGAGGUCCAGACUCCCCAGGAAUGUUGCCUGGGGAGGGGUGUCGCGGUGGGGGGGGGGGUGACCCAGGCCCACCCUCUGCAGGGCACUUAAAAUGCUCCACAUCCCCAGUGGAUGCCUCCUGUCACGCAUCACACCGUGGUGUAUUUGAGAUCCCAUCUGCCACUUGGGCUGGAGGGAAAUGAAUGUUUUUGGGUUUCUUGUCAUUGCUUCCUGCGGAUUCCAUUUUACUCCUGUUCGUUUAUGGCCUCAAACAUGAAUUUGAAGAAUUUUGCCCUCCCUGGCAGUAUUGGGAAGAAGAUUCUUUUGUUCAAGUCCGUUUGGACAAUUAGAUGGGAGUAUUAACAAAAGGUCGGGCUGGGCACAGUGGCUCACACCUGUAAUCCCAACACUUUGGGAGGCCAAAGAGCAAGGAUCGCUUGAGCCCAGGAGUUCGAAACCAGCUGGGGCAACAGAGGGAGAACUUGUCUCUACAAAAAAUUUAAAAAUCAGCUGGGCAUGGUGGUGCACGCCUGUAGCCCAAGCUAUAUGGGAAGCUGAGGUGGGAGGAUUGCUUGAGCCCGAGAGUUUGAGGCUGCUGUGAGCUGAGAUCACGCCACUGCAUUCCAGCCUGGGCAACAAAGCAAGACCCUGUCUGAGGUCAACUCUGCCCCCAGGAAGGUAUGGGACCUUGCAAUCUUAUCUAGGUUGCGUCUUUUUCAUUGAAAUCACGAAAUCAUUAAGGUAAGUAGGGAAGGGUCAAGAUAGCUAAGAUGAGUGAGGGGACACAGACACCAAUAAAAGUUCUAACUUUGAGGACUCCUCCAGUAUUCUUUUCAUCCUAAAGCUUCUGGCCUAUCAGCUAGUUCAGACACAGCCUAGGAGUCUCAAGCCAGUACAGGAACAAGGAGGCAGGUUGCCCUCUUGGGGCAAAGCUGUGGCCCCACCCUUGAUGAAGAACGCCUGUAGGAACCCAGGACCUGUGAGCAGGUAGAGUCCUGAAGGUUUAAGAUUCUGUGGAGCAGGUAUGUGCAGUGCCAGUGCGCAACCAGCAACUGAUGGACAGGAAUAGGUAGAGCUGCUCUGAGUGCAUUCCUUUGGCAAGCCUGGGCCAGAGGCACACAGGAAGGAAUUAGUCAUGUGGUAUCAUAGGCCAGGUGUGGAAGCAAAUGAGCCAGAGUGGAACCAGGACCAGCCAGGGCCAAGGCAGGGAGAAGAGUUCCUCUAGCUGACAUUGACAGGAAAGCAGAGUCAAAAACCUGGAAUGGUUUGCUUCAAAGACUGGAUGCUGCCUAAUGACCUCGAAGGCCAGUGAUACCUGGACUCUUGAGUGAGCAAGGCAGAUUUUGGAAUGAGCACACAACUUCAAGUAAGCCCGGAGAUGAUUACCUGUAGUUUCUGCUGCUCUUAGAGGCAGAAUCAUCUGAGAACUGAUUGAGGAGUGCAUGUAUACCCCAGAGACUAGUGCACUCUAGGAUAAAAGGAGUCAUUCAGCCCUUACUUUUGGUUGGAUGCAGGGUGUAGUUUCAAUAAAAUGUCACAGAACAAAUUUCUAAGACCUUUAGGUUGAGUGAGUGUUAGAGUUUGUCUAGUAGUAUAUUUCUCAUCAGUUACCUAUUUAGCUGUUCUGCAUAGGCCUUUGAGAUAAGGAAAUAAGUAAGAUAAAUUCUCCCCAGAAACCGCAAAACAAUUAUAAUGUUGAGAGAAGAAUGAAGUAGUAACUCUGUCUGUACUGAAGAAGGAAUUCGGUGUACAGAAAAGAGGUCACUGCCUGAGGUCGGGAGUUUAAGAUCAGCCUGGCCAACAUGGUGAAACCCCAUCUCUACAAAAAUACAGAAAUUAGUCGGGCAUGAUGGUGGGUGCCUGUAAUCCCAGCUACUCGGGAGGCUGAGGCAGGAGAAUUGCUAGAACCUGGGAGGUGGAAGUUGCAGUGAGCCAAGACUGUGCCAUUGCACUCUGGCCUGGGCAACUGAGCGAGACUCCGUCUCAAAAAAAAAAAAAAAAAAAAAAAAGUAACGUGACUGGUCACUGUGAGCUGGAUUGGAGGAAGGUGGGAAUGGAGACUAAGGGCUCUUGCUGAGAGGAGUUUGAGUAAGCCUUUUUCAGGUUCUCUUGUCUUUAGCAUUUAAAUCCUGGACUUUAUAAGUAGACUGACAGUUGUGGCAUCAACACAACUAAAAGGCAGGGUUACCCUCUUAGAGUACACUUGGAAAAUCAGUCUGAAAUGAAAGAAACUUUCUUGGUGAAGUGGAAGUGGAAGUUUUGGUUGGGUGCAGUGGCUCAUACCUGUAAUCCUAACAUUUUGGGAGGCAAAGGUGGGAGGAUUGCUUGAGACCAGGAGUUUGAGACCAGCCUGGGCAACAUGGCGAGAUCCCUUUUCUUUUUCUUUUUUUUGGGGGGAGACGAGGUCUGGCUUUGUUACCCAGGCUAAAGUGCAGUGCAAUGGCAUUCUAACACUCACCCAACCUAAGGGUCUUAGUAUCCAUACAAAAAGCAUUGACAAAAAGCAUGCCAUAUGUUAAGAUCAAGGUUUAUCUUUGGGUGUUGAGUGCAACACUUGUUAUAAGAAGCAAAAUAAACUUAGAAGCAAAGGAGUGGAUGAGGAUCUGUCUUGGGGGAAAAUCCAAAGAUUAGUUGUGAUCAGAGUAUAGUACCUUUUGGCCUGACUUAUAUAACAAACUCUGCAAUAUGUUAAAACCUUUAAUGAAAACAAGGGAGAUGUUGGACUCUAAUGUCACUCUUAAUAAUGAAAUAACCAACAUUUGUUGAGCUUUUUACUACAUACCACAGGUGUUCUUCUAAGCUUUUUACUUUCAUUAGCUCAAUAGUCUUUGCCUUAUCAUAUAAUAGGCACUACUGCAUGGAUAUAUGUUGUCAUUUACUGAGGAAGCAGUUAUCAAGAGCCCAGACAAUAAGCUGAGAAAUCUGAGUUGACUUUAAAGUCCUCCUGUGUUUCAACAAGGGUGCCAAGACCAUUCGAUGGAGGAGGGACAGUCUUUUCAAAAAAUGGUACUUGGAAAGCUGGAUACCCACAUACAAAAGAAUGUUGUUGGCCUCCUUACCUUAUACCAGAUACAGAACUUAAAGUGGAUCAAAGACCUAAAUGUAAAACUGUUAGAAGAAAACACAGGGCAAAAGCUUCAUGAUGUUAGAUUUGGCAAUGAUUUCUCAGAUAUGACUCCAAAAGCAUAUGCAACAACAACAAAAAAGAUGAAUUGGAUUUCAUCAAAAUUAUAAACUUUUGUGCAUCAAGGAACAUGAAGAAGAAUGAAAAGACAACCCACAGAAUGAGAAAAAAAUAUUUGCAAAUCAUGUAUCUGAUAAGAGAUUAAUAUACAGGAUAACAACCCAAUUGAAACAUAAAGUAGCCAAGUGCAUUGGCACACACUUAUAGUCCCUACUAUUCAGGAGGCUGAGGCAGGAGGAUUGCUGAGCCCAGAAGUUCGAGACCAGCGUGGGCAACAUUGCAAGGCCCUAUCUCAAACAAUAAAUUAUAAGCAAAGGACUUAAAUAGACAUUUCUCCAAAGACGAUAUACAAAUGGCCAAUAAGAACAUGAAAAGAUGUUCAACAUCACUAGUCAUUAGGGAAAUGCAGAUCAAAACCACAAUGAGAUACCAGUUCAUACCCAUUAGAAUGGCUGUCAUCAAAAAAAUGGGGCCAAGCACAGUGGCUUACGCCUGUAAUCCCAGCACUCUAGGAGGCCAAGGCAGGUGGAUCACCUAAGGUCAGGAGUUCAAGACCAGCCUGGCCAACAUGGCAAAACCCCAUCUCUACUAAAAAAAAUGCAAAAAUUAGCUGGUUGUGGUGGCAGGCGCCUGUAGUCCCAGCUACUUGGGAGGCUGAGGCACGAGAAUUGCUUGAACCUGGGAGAUAGAGGUUGGAGUGAGCUGAGAUCACGCCACUGCACUCCAGACUGGGUGACAGAGGAAGACUCCAUCUCAAAAAAAAGAAAAAAGAAAAGAAAAAAUGGAAAAGACAAAAUUGUUGGCAAAGAUAUUGAGAAAUUUGAACCCUUGUUAUUACUGGUAGGAAUAUAAAAUGGUGCAGCCACUGUGGAAAACAGUUUAAUUUGUCCUCAGAAAGUUAGAGAAUUACCUUAUGACCCAGCAAUUCCAUUUUUAGGUAUAUAUUCAAAAGAAUUGAAAGCAGAGACUGAAAUAAGUGCAGAUACUUGGAUGCCAGUAUUUAUAAUAGCAUUAUUCACAGUGGCCAAAAUGUGGAACCAACCCAAGAAUUGAUGAGCAGAUGAAUGGAUAAACAAAAUAUGAUUUAGACAUACAACGGAAUAUUAUUCAGCCUUUUUUUUUUUCUGAGAUGGAGUUUCGUUCUUGUUGCCCAGCCUGGAGUGCGAUGGCACAAUCUCAGCUCACUGCAACAUCCGCCUCCUGGGUUCAAGCAAUUCUCCUGCCUCAACCCCCCGAGUAGCUGGGAUUACAGGCACACGCCACCAUGCCCAGCUAAUUUUGUAUUUUUAGUAGAGACGGGGUUUUUCUCCAUGUUGGUCAUGUGUCCGGAAUUGAUGGGUUCUUGGUCUCACUGACUUCGAGAAUGAAGCGCGGACCCUCACGGAGGCAGAGGUUGCAGUGAGCUGAGAUUUUGCGACUACACUCCAACCUGGGCAACAGAGCGGGACUCCAUUCCAAAAAAAUAAGAAAAACAGAAAAAUAAUAAUUACAUCUGCAAAGACCUUAUUUCCAGGGUCCACGAGGCUGGUGUCAGACCUAUUGGGAGACCCUCUGCGUUAGUGAGAAAAACGGCAAGAAAUGGGAGCACGCGGAAACCUCCAAGACUAGAGCCACCAGAUGCCACCGACAGCACGCAGCUGGACCAGCACGGGGGAGGGCCUUCGUGGGUCGAGAGCUCGCUCGGGAGAUAGUUGGUGCUUUUCUUUCAGGAGAAGAAUCCCUGGCGGAGUCUGACCGUUCUCUGGCGCACAGCCCCGGGGGUGGGCACAGCAGCCGCCCCUGCUGAAGGGACUGACGCCUCCGACGACCAGCAGCCAAGUUAAACGCACUGUUCCGUGAGCAGCUUUGUUGGAGACAGCGCGGUUCACAUUCUCUUCCAACGGAGCCGCUGACUGCGGAGCUGGGAGGGGACGUGACAGAACCCAGCCAUCCAACGUCCCCCCACCCCUCCCCAGCUGGGACCUCCGGCUGCUUCCGGGCUGCGCUGGGUGGCGUCAAGGAGCCGCCCCUCUGGGCCGCGUCCCUCCCUCACGCCCUGCACACUGGCCCUGUGUGGCCGGCGGGGCGCCUAAAAGGGCGGAAGGAUGCAGGGGCGGAGGGGGCUCGGGAUUGCACGCCUAGCUCAGACCCCCCAGCCAGGACCCCUCGCGCUGUUGGACACGCCAGCCUCCCGACCCUGCGGCUCCUACGGGAGGUGACAAGGACCCUGCCAACCUGGCCUGAAUGGCCCAGUUUGAUACAGAUCAGGUUUUCAAUGAAUGAGACCGCGGUGUGGUCUAGGCGGAGGGAUGAGAGGAGGGGAUUCUGCUGGGAUAAGUGGGGGCGGGGUAAGGAGGGGAUUCUUUUCCUGGGCUGAGGAGAACGCAGGGACAAAGUACACAGGGGUAGUUGAGUGAGCAGGUGAGGCCCUAGGCUGGUUCCCCACCUUCUCAGGAUCGGAGCCACUCACUUCCUGGUACUCUCUGCAGUCUCCUGGCGUUAAAUAACAUCCCUUUGCUGGAGACUCUGGAUUCACAUCCAUAAUCGCAGCCUCCCCUACUCAUCCCCUCACGCUUCCCAUGAACUAACCUUGAAGGACCCGACCAGAGCCCUGACCUCCGUCCCACACACCUGCUACAUGGAAGGUGUUCUCCACAUCAGUUCAAGGCAGUGUCACUCUUCAGGAUGUUCAGGCUCUAAACCUUGGACUCCUCCUCCAGAUUUCUCUCUCCUUCCUUCUCCUUGUCUCUCCCUUGCACUUACGGUUCACUUUUCCUUCGUAGCUUUGUAGCUCAUUCCCCCUUCCACUUUCCACACCACCUUCUGGUCUGUUAAUUAAAUAUUACCUGGUUUCCACUGACACCUUCCCUGGGUUCCCAAUUGAAAAUCACAACAUCAUCCUCCUCCUCUGCUUUUUUUCUCCAAAUUAUAUCCUCACCCAAUUAUGUGUUAUUCUCAUUAAUCUUGCUUAAUUAAUUAGCAGACAUUAUUAAUGCCUGUUUCCCCUAUCACCACCACUAGACUAUGAACUCCUAAGGACUCCUUCCUUCCACCACUGUUGUACUCGCUUCACCUAGAACUGCUUGGCACAUACAAUGUGCUCCAUAAAUAUUUGUUGAAUGAAAGACUAGACACAACUUAGGAUUCACUCCCCCAUGUGGCAUCCAUAAGCCCUGUAUGCAGGUAAAAUGUCAGUGGGUUGACUAAAUACUGGAAGUGGAAAAAACUUCACCUCUUUGGUUUGCAGUUGUCUAGGAUAUUUAGGCCAAUGGAAAAUCCAGUUUUCCUUAGAAUUAAGCCAGUGCCGCCAGACUUGCCAGUUUACCAUGCUUGUCUGACUGGUCCUCAGCAUGGGUCAUACGUGUCCAAUGAAUUCAAACAAAAUCUUGAGAAGACACGAACCUUGCCCUUCGGCUGGGCGCGGUGGCUCACGCCUGUAAUCCCAGCACUUUGGGAGGCCGAGGCAGGCGGAUCACGAGGUCAGGAGAUCGAGACCAUCCUGGCUAACAUGGUGAAACCCCGUCUCUACUAAAAAUACAAAAAAUUAGCCGAGCGUGGUGGCGGGCGCCUGUAGUCCCAGCUACUCAGGAGGCUGAGGCAGGAGAAUGGCGUGAACCCGGGAGGCGGAGCUUGCAGUGAGUGAGCCGAGAUCGCACCCCUGCACUCCAGCCUGGGCGACAGAGCGAGACUCCGUAAAAAAACAAAAAAAAAACCUUGCCCUUCAUUCCCCAUUUCUAUCAUAAUCUACACAGAGUUUUGAACAGGCAUUUUAAAAUCAACAAUAUAUUAUUUACAAUUUUGUUAGUAUACAUAACUCUAACUCACUGUUAAAAAUCACCUGUCUUUAUAUCCAUUAAAUGACACUUGCAUAUGCUCCAAUUUUUCACUAAUGAUUUCGAGAGCAUUCUGGGACACAGGUGUCUGGACCUUUCAUAAGUAAACAGAAUUCCUAGCGACGGAAUUGUGUAUGCAGUAUGGAAACACCUUAUAAUAUACUGUCCUGGAUAUUGUAAAGGUGAACCAACAUUCUGUUAAAUUUAGAGCAAGUUGCAGAAAACUAUAUGAUACUUAAUUCUGUGCUAUAUGUAUAAUGGUUUCUUAGGGUUUUUUAAAUUUUUUUUUUCUUAGAGACAGUGUCUCACUCUCUUGCCCAGUCUGGAGUACAGUGGCACAAUCACAGCUCACUGCAGCCUCGACCUCCUAGGCUCAAGUGAUACUCCCACCUCACCUCCCAAGUAGCUGGGACUACAGGCAUGUGCCACCAUGUCCAGCUAACUUUUUUUUUUAUAUAAGAGAGAGGGACCCCACUACGUUGCCCAGGUUAGUCUUGAACUCCUGGGCUCAAGCAAUCCUGCCUCAGCCUCCCAAAGUGCUGGCACUACAGGCAUCAGCCACUGCACCCUGUCUGCUGCCAUAUAUAAUGUACAUUUUAAGAACUCUAUAUAGAUUCAUUUAUGUAUAUGUUUAGAAAAAAAUUCUGGAAUGGGCUGGGUGCAGUGGCUCACACCUGUAAUUCCAGCACUUUGGGAGGCCGAGGUGGGCAGAUCAUGAGGUCAGGAGUUUGAGACCAGCCUGACCAACUGGUGAAACCCCACCUCUACUAAAAAAAUACAAAAAUUAACUGGACAUGGUGGCACACACCUGUAAUCCCGGCUACUCAGGAGGCUGGGGCAGGAGGAUCACUUGAAGCCAGGAGGUGGAGGUUGUGGUGAGCCGAGAUCGUGCCAUUGCACUCCAGCCUGAGCAACAGAGCGAGACUCUGUCUCAAAAAAAUAGAUAAAAGAAAAGAAAAGAAAAUCUGGAAUGAAUCAAAAUACAGUCAUGCAUCAUUUAACAGGGAUUCAUUCUGAAAAAUGCACUGUUAGGAGAUUUCAUAGUUGUGCAAACAUUAUAGAGUGUACUUACACAAACCUAGAUUGUAUAGCCUACUAUACACCCAAGCUAUAUGGUAAAAGCUUAUUACCCCUAGGCUACAAACCUGUAUGGCAUAUUAUACAACUGAAUCCUGUAGGCAACUGUAAUACAAUGGGUAGUACUGUACCUUUUAUAGGACUGGCAGUGCAGUAGGUUUGUUUACACAAGCAUCAUGCCAAACACUUCAUGUGUUGUGCUGUCACCAUUCUGAUGGUUACGACGCCACUGUUAUAGGAAUUUUUCAGUUCUAUUAUAGUCUGAUGGGACCAUUAUUGUAUUUGAGGCCCAUCAUUGACUGAAAUGUCAUUAUGUGAUAUAGAUAUAUGAGAUACUAUUCAGCCUAAAAAGAUGGAAAUCUGGCCGGGCGCGGUGGCUCAUGCCUGUAAUCCCAGCACUUUGGGAGGCCGAGGUGUGCCGAUCACAUGAGGACAGGAGUUUGAGACCAGCCUAGCCAACAUAGUGAAACCCGGUCUCUACUAAAAAUACAAAAAUUAGCUGGGUGUGAUGGCGCACGCCUGUAAUCCCAGCUACUCUGGAGGCUGAAGCACAAGAAUUGCUUGAACCCAAGAGGCAGAGGUUGCAGUGAGUCGACAUUGUGCCACUGCACUCCAGCCUGGGCAACAGAGUGAGACUCUGCCCCAAAAAUAAAAAUAAAAAGAUGGAAAUCCUGUCAUUUUCGGUGACAUGGAUAAACUUGGAGGAUAUUAUGUUAAGUGAAAUAAACCAGGCACAGAAAGAAAAAUAUCUCAUGCUUUCACCUAUGUGUGGAAUGUACAGAAGUUGAACUCAUAGAGAAUAAAAUGGUGGUUACAAGAGAUUUGGGGGUGGGGGGAUUCAGGAGCCAUUGGUGAAGAAACAACAGCUGUUCCAUGAAGGUUCCCAUUGAUAAAUGCAGAAGGAAUGAGAGAGAGAGAGAGAAAAUCACCACUGGACCACAGUAAUCAUUGCCUCAGGCAAAAUUGACCCCUGAUGCUAAAACUCACGGGUGAUGGUUUAGGCAGAAACAAGAUAUUUGCAUAGUCUGAAGUAUCUCCUCCACAAUAUUUAGUAAUACAAAUGGAAGAACCACAAGUUUUCAGUAAAGAACACAAGCAAUUUCCUAGCCAAGUGAUCAAAAUUAACAUCACCUGUCCUGAAAUACGAUGCACUGAGAAGGGCACAUGAUCACAUCAUUUUGUAGCAUCCUUCUCAAUAAUGUAUAGCUUCAGUCUAAUCCUGAGAAAACAUCAGACAAACCCAAACUGAGAUGCAUUCUAGAAAAUAGCUGAUAUUCUUCAGAAGUUCCAAGGUCAUGAAAGACAGGAUAGACUAAGAAACUGUGAAAGAUGAGACAAGACCAAGGACAUAGGACAACUAAACAUGAUGUGGGAUUCUGAAUUGUAUCCUAGAACAGAAAAACUAAAAUCAUGAAAAAAAUGGUGAAAUGCAAAUAAUUUCUUGGUUUUGAAAAUUAUUUUGUGGGCUGGGCACGGUGGCUCACACCUGUAAUCCUAAAACUUUGGGAGGCCAAGGUGGGUGGAUCACCUGAGGUCAAGAGCUCGAAACCAGCCUGGCCAACGUGGGGAAACCCCUUCUCUACUAAAAAUACAAAACUUAGCCAGGCGUGGUGGCAGGCAUCUGUAAUCCCAGCUGCUCGGGAGGCUGAUGCAUGACAAUCGCUUGAACCCAGGAGGCGGAGGUUGCAGUGAGCCAAGAUCAUGCCACUGCACACCAGCCUAGGUGACAGAGCAAGACUCCAUCUCAAAAAAAAAAGAAAAAAAAUUGUUCUACGGUUAGGUAAGAUGCUAACAUAAGUAGAAGCUGUGUAGUGGGUGUAUUGAAACACUGUGAUUUUUGAAAUUCUUUUGAAAGUCUAAAAUCUCAAAAUUAAAAAUGAAAAAAGUAAAGGUACAAUGUAUAAAAUAUCCUGCCACACAUUAAAAUACAUACAUAUACAUACAUAUAAAAUAUGCAUAUAUUACAUAAAAUUUAUUUGGGUAGAGCUGGAAGACUGAGAGCCAUGAAUGGGAGAGGCUUUUCAUGUUUUAUUUUUAUAAAUAUAUGUAAUAGAGGCGGGGUCUCACUAUGUUGCCCAGGCUGGUCUUGAACUCCUGGGCUCCAGAGAUCUCUCCCACCUUGGUCUCCCAAAGUACUAGGAUGACAGGCGUGAGCCACUGCGCCAGCCACUUUUGUUCACAUACCCUUUUAUAUCUUCUGAAUUUGCUACAAUGACAUAUAUUACAUACUUUAAAACAAAAAUUAAGUAAAAUCAAAGAAAAGGUUGGCAACAUAAUGAGUGGAUUGCUAGACUUAGCCUAAUAAUUGGCUCAGGUUUCACAGAACUGGACUGUGAAACAAGGUCCAGUUUCCUUUCUGAAUCUAUCAGUCACCAACAUAGCUGGUCUGGGAUGCGUUUUCUUUGGAGGUCUUUGAAAACUACUAAAACCCAAAGUAUCAAGAUAUAUCCUGGUAAUAUUUUUGCAAUUCUGGGAACAUAUAUAACAAAUUGCAUCCCAUUCCAGUAUUAAAAUAAGUAUAGAAGCCAGAUGCAGUGCUUCACACUUGUAAUCCAAGCACUUUGGGAGGCUGAGGUGGGCAGAUCACCUGAGGUCAGGGGUUCAAGACCAGCCUGGCCAAUAUGGUGAAACUUCAUCUAUACUAAAAAUACAAAAAUUAGCUGGGCAUGGUGGCAGACUCCUGUAAUCUCAGCUUCUCGGGAGGCUGAGGCACGAAAAUUGCUUGAACCUGGGAAGCAGAGGUUGCAGUGAGCCAAGAUUGCGCUACUGCACUCCAGCCUGCCUAAGUGACAGAGCAAGACUCCAUCUCAAAAAUAUAUAUAUAAUAUAAAAAAUAUAGAGAGAGAUAAUAAAGAAACAAAUUUGAAGUCAUGGAAUUCGCCUUUCUUAAACUGGUUUCAAUGAAACUGUUAUCUAUUUUGUAUUCACUACAAUCAUAAGGAGACAACAUAGCAUAAGAGCCAAGAUUCAAACCUCAACUUUUCCAUUUACUGGAUGAGUGACUUUAGAUAAGUUUUUUAGUUUCUCUGUGUCUGAAAUUCAAGGCAGUAAUCAGAGAACCAAUCUCAUGGGCUUCUUUGAAUAUUGAAGAAGAGCACACAUCCAAAACAGAAAGGACCUGGCACUUGAGCAAGCCCUCAAAGGUUAACAAAUAAAUUUUUAAGAUAUUCUAGCUACUUUUAAAAGUUUUUAGCAUUUAAGAGAAUAUAAUAUAUUGGAUUUUGAUUUAAUUAUUAUUAUUUUUUGAGACAUAGUCUCACUCUGUCACCCAGGCUGGAGUGCAGUGGCACGAUCUUGGCUCACUGCAACCUCCACCUCCUGGGUUCAAGUGAUUCUCCUGCCUCAGGUUCCCAAGUAGCUGGGAUUACAGGAGCCCGCCACCACACCCCGCUAAUUUUUGUAUUUUUAGUAGAGACGGGGUUCACCAUGUUGGCCAGGAUGGUCUUGAACUCCUGACCUCAAGUGAUCUGCCCACCUUGGCCUCCCAAAGUGAUGGAAUUACAGGUGUGAGCCACCACGCCUGGCCUCUGAUUAUUUUUAAAUUGAGCAAAUUAUAUUUUUAAGUCUGUAAGUUUUGGGUUAUUAGUUAUGAAAGCAGGUACAUAUGCAUUUAGUGUUUUUAUUGCGGAAAUGUUAAUUAGUAGUCAUAAAUUAAGUAAUCAGGGAUUAAACAAAAUGAGUAUUCUUUAUCUUCAACCAGAAUGAAUCUUUCCAUAUAGCUCCCUGAAUCCUCACCCUUCCUGCCUCCUGCUCCUACUUAUACUCCUCCUUCUACCAGAAACUGCUCCCCUCCACCAGAGCUCUAAAUCACAACCCCUCUGCUUUCACUGGGGCUUGGAGGCUGCUACCUCUAGACUCUCCCUCCCACUGCAUCAACUCUGCCCUCCCUCACCCGACACCCCGAGUAAUUAAGCUCCCUCUUCCCCCAGCCUCUCCGUUCCCAGCUAUUUCCCCAUCCCAACAAAAAUUACCCAGGUUUUCCCAUCCAGGAGCAUCAGUUCUGCUUACUAAAAACGUCCACUAAACAUAUUCCACAUGCAUCCCCAUUUAAAUUUUUCAACUCACUCCAACCUGGUUUCUGAGAAUCUCACUCCUGCAACUGAACUGCUUGUGCUAAAGCUAGCAGUGAGCCCUGUGGUUCACAAACCAAGGAGCUAUUUCAUGCCCUCAUCUGACUGGACUGCUGGACAGAAUUCCCCAGAAUAGAUAAUACCCUCCUUCUAGCUUGGGGUGGGGGUUGGUGCCCCG
Molecule: long non-coding RNA, 12620 nt
Filed under: Homo sapiens (human)
Lineage: Eukaryota; Metazoa; Chordata; Mammalia; Primates; Hominidae
Description: non-protein coding lnc-KHDC3L-2:4
Source: RNAcentral